GAUCGGUGCUGGGGCCUGUCCUCUUCAAUAUCUUUAUUGAUGACCUGGAUGAGGGCAUUGAGUGCACCCUCAGUAAGUCUGCAGAUGACACCAAGUUGGCUGGAAGUGUCGAUCUGCCUGGGGGUAGCGAGGCCCUACAGAGGGAUCUGGACAGGCUGGAGAGCUGGGCUGAAGCCAAUGGGAUGAGGUUUGAUAAGGCCAAAUGCCGGGUCCUGCACUUUGGCCACAGCAACCCCAAGCAACGCUACAGGCUUGGGGCAGAGUGGCUAGAAGACUGUGUAGAAGAAAUGGACCUGGGGGUGUUGGUUGACGCUCGGUUGAACAUGAGCCAGCAGUGUGCAUGGGUGGCCAAGAAGGCCAAUGGCAUCCUGGCUUGUAUCAGAAGUAGUGUGACCAGCAGGAACAGGGAAGUAAUUGUUCCCCUGUACUCAGCUCUGGUGAGGCCGCACCUCGAGUACUGUGUCCAGUUCUGGGCCCCUCACUGCAAGAAAGACAUUGAGGCCCUGGAGCGUGUUCAAAGAAGGGCAACAAAGCUGGUGAGGGGUCUGGAGCACAGGCCUUAUGAGGAGCGGCUGAGGGAGCUGGGAUUGUUCAGUCUGGAGAAGAGGAGGCUCAGGGGAGACCUUAUUGCUCAACAUAACUACCUGAAGGGAGGUUGUAGUGAGCUGGGGGUUGGCCUCUUCUCUCGUAUAACCGGUGAUAGGACUAGAGGGAACGGUUUUAAGCUGCGCCAGGGAAGAUGCAGGCUGGAUAUUAGGAAAUACUACUUCUCUGAAAGGGUGGUCAGGCAUUGGAAUGGGCUGCCCAGGGAGGUGGUGGAGUCCCCUUCCCUGGAGGUGUUCAAGGAACAUUUGGAUGUUGUGUUGAGGGAUAUGGUUUAGUGAGAACCAUAGGUGGAUGGUUGGACUGGAUGAUCUUAUAGGUCUUUUCCAACCUUAGUGAUUCUGUGAUUCUGUGAUUCUGUGAAUUGAGCACUGUUGGAAGUGAUCCACUGUUCUGUAAUUU
RNAcentral lists this long non-coding RNA (1005 nucleotides) under Phasianus colchicus (ring-necked pheasant). RNAcentral's name for it is "lncRNA (ENSPCLG00000018712.1)". Lineage: Eukaryota; Metazoa; Chordata; Aves; Galliformes; Phasianidae. The record is from RNAcentral.